RNAcentral lists this long non-coding RNA (6355 nucleotides) under Homo sapiens (human). RNAcentral's name for it is "HSALNT0304385". The record is from RNAcentral. Lineage: Eukaryota; Metazoa; Chordata; Mammalia; Primates; Hominidae.
GUGCCCGGGGCUGGCUGCGCGAAGGGGGCGGGGCCUCCGGAGGCUGGCCAGCCAAUUGAGGUCGUCCGGAAAAAAGUGGUCGCGGCGUUGCCAAGGUAGGCUGCGCAGUGUCUGGGAUGAUGUCAUGGCUCCGUCUUAAAGGGGACGCGGGCGGCAGAAAGUGGAGCUGGGCUGGUGUGCGCGCGGCCGGAGUCUGUGGAGCUGGAAAUUCACCGGUCCAGGAAGACGUCUUUCCCGCGUCCCAGCACCGGUCCAGAAAGACGUCUUUCCCGCGUCCCAGCACCUCGGGCCACGCUCCUUCGUGAGAGCGCCCUCUCCAAGGAGGCCGGCCCUGGAUAUUUCACCCAAAAUAUUUAUUUUUUCUUUUUUUCUAGAGUCGGGGGUCUCCCUAUGUUUCCCAGGCUGGCCUCGAACUCCUGACCUCAAGUGAUCCUCCCACCUCAGCCUCCCCGAGUGCUGGGAUUAAAGACGUGAGCCACGGCACCUGGCCUGAAUUUUCCUCAAAUUCAAAAAAUCCUGAUGAAGGUUUGGCUAAAAUCUUUGGUGAGUUACCCCACUCCCUGUGGAACCUCAGGCUGGAUUUGAAGAGUUGCGUGCAUGGUCCUCAUUGUCUCCCAGGUAACCUGUUCCCGCUGCUGUGAAGGGAAGGCAGGUGCUCUUCCUUGAGGCUAGAAUCUGUCUACGUGUCACAGUCUCAGGAAAUUAAGCAAAACAGAUGAUAAACACCUCAAAAGGACCCUACUGAGCAUCAGUGGAGCAGAGCAGGGCCAUGUGGGACUGCGGCGUCAGAUGCCACCUCACACUAGCUGUGACACACCUGCCUCGCCAGUUUCUGCUCUGAGGCCCCAAAGCCGAGCUGAACCUCCUCCAGGGGUUCUCAGCCCUAACUGAGCAUGAAAACCCCUGGGGCAAUCCUCUUUUUAACAAUUGAGACAUUCCACACACACCCCACAUCAGAUUUUGGGGUGUGGGGAUAGACCUUCACAUUUGUAGUUUUCUAACCCUCCAGGGGACACUAGGCUGAGACUCAUUGGUCUCCACUCUGAACCUUCCACUGAACAUGUGAGAAAAACUAAGGCCCAGGGAAGUCUUUAGCAGAGAGCUGAGACGGAGAAAAGGGUUCUGAACCACAGCUGUCUGCUGAAGGAAGCUGUCCAAAGGCCAGUGAAGUCUCUCCUGAGGGUGCCUGGGCUGUGCAUCAGGAGUGAAGGUUGAGGGUCACCUUAGGUGUGAGAAGGAGCAACUGGGAGAGUGGCGCUGAUGCUUCCCCCCGGGUUAGGAGGCAUUUGGAUCACAGAGCGAUGCCUGUUCAUUCCUGCUUGCAAGGGAGCAGAUCUCUCGACACCCGAUGGGCCUCUAUUCCGUUCCGGCAGCUGUCCGUGUCAGGAGCGCUGGGCUUGCUCCUCCCCACGGGAGCCAUCACAGAGGCCUCGGGCAGUCUGCAUAGACAACUGCCUGGCAGGUGACCAGGAGGGGAUGCAUGAGCAGAUGCAGGUAGCACUCGCAGUCCCCCUAGCUGUGCCCUCAGCACCUGCUGUCUAGGAGGCAGAAGCCUUGUUCUCGGCCUUGCAGGUGACCCCAGUGUCUCUGAAUUCGGCCCCAUAUGUGUAGGAGGGGAGUGAUUGCAUCUGAAGAUGGGAGUCUGGUUGGGGGUUUGGGAAGCUCCCAUCACCCCUCAAGAGUCCACUGACCAGCCCAGCUCACACCAGGUGGGCCUUGGCACUGGAGGCCACGGCUCAACUCUGCAGUUCCCUCUGGGCAGCAUUUCCAGGGACUCGUAGGUCAGCAUGGUCAUCAAGGACAGGUGGUGAGAGCAGCUCCUCAUUGUCCUGGUGACCCCGAUGGUUCAUUUUCUGGUGUCUCUGUGGUGAGCUCCUGUUACAUCAAGCGAGUGGAAACCACCGAGGACCAACAGCCCUGGAAAUGCACUGAGAAUGCAGGAUGAGUGGGCUUUGUGAGGACUGUUUUCUGUGACUUAGCAAGGAAAGCCUGGAAGGGAAAGUAAAACUGCUUCUUCCCAGGGAAGCCAGAAACCUGAGAACUUAAAAGGGAAGGAGAACUUAAUAUAUUUCAAAAAUGUAACCCUUGUGAAUUAGCAACAGCUUUAUAAACAAAGAGAUUUCCGAGCUUAUAGAAUCUAUUCUGCUUUGUUUCUGCCCCCAUGGCUCCUACCCCUGUUUUUGUGGGUACAAUUUUCAUAUAGAACAUUUUUACACAAGCUUCAAAACUCUCUGAGGACAGCUUUCCCCUUUGUGUCUGUCGGGUCCCAGGCAGUCACAUCCCAGGAAGUGCUGGGGUUGGGCUCCUUGCUCCACAUCCUUCUUCAGUGGCACGAAGCGUGGGGUGGAGUGUGUGAGUCAUGUGUGAUCUUGGUGUGGGCUAUGGCUGGUCUGCAGCACCCCUUCAAUGACUGCUUCAAGGGCUUUUCAUGAUGCUUGUAGCUCAUGAGCUAGUGUUUCCUAGAUGCUGUUUCCAGGUGUCUUGCAUGUCACACACUGGCCUACCAGGGCUGGAGUGAGAUCAUGAGCGCCAGAUUGUUGGUGAAGGAAGUUGACAGAGACAUCGAAUGUCGGUGAACAGGAGUGACCUUGGGUCUCAAUAAAUACUGUGGUCAACUGAAUCCAGAACCCACCCUUACCAGCAGGGCCCACUUCUUCCCCAGCAGGCCGAGCUCUUCCCCUCCUGUCUUCCCUGGCCCUUGCUUUGUAGCUCUGUGUGGCUGUGUCAUGUCUGGUUGUAUCUGUAUAUACUUCUGCCUCUCCCGCUAUCUAGAUGGCUCGGGGAGGCACACCACACACCAGGUCACCUUCCUCUCUGAACCCCCAGCACCUCAUACUGUUUCUGUGCAGAGAUAAGGCUGGGUGAAAGCUUGUGUGAAUGAUCUGAAGUCUUCUACUCUAGGCCAGUCUCCAGGAGCAUUAUGAUCUUUAGGAGGGUGGGCUUGGUUCCUCUGUACAAUAAUGGGUCAUAAAACUGAGUGGUCAAGAUCAUCCCGGUGAGGGCAGUCCGUGUGUUGCCAUAGUUGCUGUACCGGUUAAGAAUGCACCUGGCUGCAAUUUCCUGAAAACCUGACGUAUAGUGGCUUAAACAAAGAGUGGUUUAUUUUCCUUCUGUCAUAGCAAUCUGGGGGAGGCCACUGUGGCUUUGGCGCAGGAGGUCGGGAAAGGCCCGCUUCUCUGAUAUCAUUGGGGGCCUCCCCAGUGCUUGUGUGGCAGAAUGACAAGAGGAAGAAGAAGGAGAAUUAUGGCACUGAGUAUCAUGAGAUUUGGGGUCAUAUAUCUUUAGUGGGCGGUGUUUGCUGCCCCAAAUGUCUCAUGCCAUUAAAAUGUUCUGGAAAUGAUUUAGGUAGUUGGAGUUUCCUUCCCAAAGACAAGGCAUUUACAGCAUGAUGUCCAAUAUCCAUUGAGUUUGUGUCAUGCAUUCAUUGUAUUCAUAGUCUGCUUUAGGUACUUAGCAAAAUAUUGCUGAUAUUAACAUGCCUUUGUUUGCUUCACUGGAGAUGAAAUUGUGCUCCAAGUGUUUUCCAAGGUUCCGUAUGACCCAUCAUUUGAUGAAACAAGAACAGCAGUCAGAUCCAUUACAAAGAGAGACACACAAAAAAACUAUGUGAAAAUGAGCUUAGCCCCUGGUGUUGUGUUGGAACUUCAGAUGCUUGCAGACACUUCAUGAAUGCUCUGUGACACUCAGAAUAGGCUAUUCCCAACAGAAGAGCUUGAACAAUGCUGCAUUUGCAUCAGGUUCAAAUGAGCGAGAGGAACAUUUGGCUAAAAUAUUUGGAACCAGCAUUGCUUGGAAUUCUCCUAAACCAGAAUAUUUCCUUGGCAGUGUGGACAAAAUUCCUGAUAAAGAUCACCUUUCAGAGGAGAAGAAUUUUAAAGAAUCCUGUCUGUUCGACAGGGAUUUAAGAGAGCAGUUAACUACUAUAGAUAAAGAAACACUUCAAGGAGCAGCUAAACCAGAUGCUCACUUUAGGACUAUGCCCUGCGGGCAGCUUCUGCACUUCCUGCAGAGGAACACCAUCAUCGCCGCCGUCUCAGGGGUGGCCAUCCUCAUGGCCAUCGUGCUGUUGCUGCUUGGGUUGGCCUCAUACAUCAGGAAGAAACAGCCAUCAUCUCCUCUGGCAAACACGACAUAUAAUAUUUUUAUAAUGGAUGGAAAGACAUGGUGGCACAAUUCUGAAGAAAAAAAUUUCACAAAACUUGCAAAAAAACAGAAACAGUUGAAGAGCAGCUCCUGUGUCUAAGCCAGGUCGUGGGGCCGUCAAACCAGGACUUGAAACCACAAUGCGAGGACAUUCUCCAUCUGCGCACCACAGGGAGGCAAUUCCAUUUCUGCCCGGGAGGUGUAUUCUACAAAAACGUCUGCUUCCCAUCCCAAUUUGAAUGGACCAAGAAAAACUGCUUUACCAUAGGACACUUGUGGCAAUAUGGCACCGAUGGCUGGCGUCGGUGAACCCGACAGACUAUGGAUUUAUCAUUUAAUAAAGCAUUGAUUCAUUUUUUCAGUCAUUCAUUGAACAGAUAUUAAUAGACCACCUCACAUGCUGACAAUAUCAAAAUACAAUGAGGAAACUAACAGUGACCCAGGCAUGCAUUCUUCCCCGAGCAAGAUCACAGUCCAUGGUGUGAGCACAACCAUACUAAAUAGCUUUUAUGGGAGGUGGGAGUACAGAAAGUAUUAUAUCUGCAAAGAAACUGCUAAGAAUUGUGGGAGCGCCCCAGGAGGUGAUUUCCUGCUUGCGUGACCAGCACAAAGAAAUGGGGUAAUUGAGAGUGUCAUGAAGUGGGGUUAUUUAUUUAUUGAGUCGGAGUCUUGCUCUGUCACCCAUGCUGGAGUGCAGUGGCGUGAUCUCAGCUCACUGCAACCUCCGCCUCCCGGGUUCAAGCGAUUCUCCUGCCUCAGCCUCCCGAGUAGCUGGGAUUAUAGGUGCGUGCCACCACACCCAGCUAAUUUUUGUAUUUUUAGUAGAGAUGGAGUUUCACCAUGUUGGCCAGGCUGCUCUCAAACUCCUGACCUCAGGUGAUCCCCCCGCCUUGGCCUCUCAAAGUGCUGGGAUUAUAGGCAUGAGCCACCAUGCCCGGCCCAUAGAAGUUUUCAGUUCAUUUAUGCACAGUUUAAGCUGAGAAUGUGAAAGGCUAAACUCAUCCCUUUCUUUCCCCACUUUCUCCAGCAACCAGCCAAUAUCAUACUCCUCAGUUUAAUUAAAAUGUUCUCAGAUAUCAUCAAACACGUGGGCACCCAGAACCUUGCCUUUUAUAUGUGUUUGAUUGAGAGUAUCCAAUGGUAAUAUUUUGUAUAUCUCUAUUGCCACAUCAUGCCAUGGAGUACCUAAAUGCCCUCUUGGCCACUGGAAAUAGAUUUAAGAUUCUGUUCCUCUCUUCUAGUACCAAAAUUUGGAUGAGUCAGGGUCCCAUGAGAGAAACAGAACUAGUAGGAGGAUAUAUAGAGUAGUAAGAGAUUUUUUUAACUUUUAAUUUUUGUGGGUACAUAGUAGGGGUAUGUAUUUAUGGGGUACACGAGAUAUUUUGAUACAGGCAUGCCAUGCAUAAUAAUCACGUGAGGGUGAAUGGAGUAUCCAAAACCUGGUGCAUUUAUCCUUCAUGUUAUAAACAAUCCAAUUAUGUUCUUUUAGUUAUUUUUAAGGUGCAAUUAAAUUACUAUUGACUGUGGUCCCCCUACUGUGCUAUCAAAUACUAGGUCUUAUUCAUUCUUUUAUUUUUUGUACCUAUUAACCAUCCUUACAUCUCCCCCACCCCCACUACUCUUCCCAGCCUCUGGUAACCACCCUUCUACUCUCUAUCUCCAUGAAUUCAAUUGUUUUAAUUCUUAGCUCUCAGAAAUGAUGAGCGCAUGCAAAGUUUGUCUUUCUGUGCCUGGCUUAUUUCACUCAACAUAAUGACUUCCAGUUCCAUCUAUGUUGGUGCAAAUGACCAUUUUUUGAAUGGCUGAAUAGUACUCCAUUGUGUAAAUGUACCACAUUUCCUCAUCCAUUCAUCUGUUGAUAGACUGUUGUUAGGUUGUUUCCAGAUCUUGGCUAUUGUGAAUAGUGCUGCAAUAAACAUGAGAGUGCAGAUAUCUCUUUUAUACACUGAUUUCCCUUCUUUUGAGUAUAUACACAGCAGUGGGAUUGCUGGAUUGUAUGGUAGCUCUAUUUUUAGUUUUUUGAGGAACCUCCAAACUGUUCUCCAUAGUGGUUGUACUAACGUACAUUCCAUACAUUAGCAAUAAUGUAUGAGAGUUCCCUUUUCUCCACAUCCUCGCCAGCACUUGUUAUUGCCUAUCUACUGGAUAUAAGGGACAAUUCUUCUCUAGAGCCUCUGAGGGGCCUGCAGCCCUGCUAACACCUCGGUUUCAG